This is a long non-coding RNA of Ixodes scapularis (black-legged tick), 198 nucleotides long. RefSeq lists it as uncharacterized. Lineage: Eukaryota; Metazoa; Arthropoda; Arachnida; Ixodida; Ixodidae. The transcript has 4 exons. The record is from RefSeq and is a predicted model, not a curated record.
GGAGAAGAUUGCAGAUCGGGAGGUGGUCUGCAAGGACCCUCCAAUCCUUCUGGGCCUAACCAACCCGGAACAAGAGAUACCAGCCCGCCCGGCAGGAAGUAAGCUCUCGGCGGCUGCCUCCAGAAGCACGCGAUGGCGGAUAGAAUACUUCCGAGGCGCACGAAAUUCUCUGAAUAAAGCUGUGCAACAUAAAACCGA